RNAcentral lists this transfer RNA (71 nucleotides) under Saurida umeyoshii. Its description in RNAcentral is "tRNA-Gly". It matches the Rfam family "tRNA". From Rfam's summary of the family: Transfer RNA (tRNA) molecules are approximately 80 nucleotides in length. Their secondary structure includes four short double-helical elements and three loops (D, anti-codon, and T loops). Further hydrogen bonds mediate the characteristic L-shaped molecular structure. tRNAs have two regions of fundamental functional importance: the anti-codon, which is responsible for specific mRNA codon recognition, and the 3' end, to which the tRNAs corresponding amino acid is attached (by aminoacyl-tRNA synthetases). tRNAs cope with the degeneracy of the genetic code in two manners: having more than one tRNA (with a specific anti-codon) for a particular amino acid; and 'wobble' base-pairing, i.e. permitting non-standard base-pairing at the 3rd anti-codon position. The record is from RNAcentral. Lineage: Eukaryota; Metazoa; Chordata; Actinopteri; Aulopiformes; Synodontidae.
AUUCUUCUAGUAUAAGGUCAGUAUAUGUGACUUCCAAUCACCCGGACCUGGUUAAACCCCAGGGAAGAAUA